RNAcentral lists this ribosomal RNA (522 nucleotides) under uncultured Glomus. RNAcentral's name for it is "SSU rRNA". It matches the Rfam family "Eukaryotic small subunit ribosomal RNA", at positions 569 to 1092 of the family's 1831-position model. Lineage: Eukaryota; Fungi; Glomeromycota; Glomeromycetes; Glomerales; Glomeraceae. The record is from RNAcentral. RNAcentral also lists the same sequence under 2 other names.
AGCAGCCGCGGUAAUUCCAGCUCCAAUAGCGUAUAUUAAAGUUGUUGCAGUUAAAAAGCUCGUAGUUGAAUUUCGGGGUCAGUAGGUCGGUCGUGCCACUGGUAUGAACUGGUUUUACUGAUUCCUCCCUCUUGAAGAACUGUAAUGCCAUUAAUUUGGUGUUGCAGGGAAUCAGGACUGUUACUUUGAAAAAAUUAGAGUGUUUAAAGCAGGCUUUAGCUUGAAUACAUUAGCAUGGAAUAAUGAAAUAGGACGUUUGAUCCUAUUUUGUUGGUUUCUAGGAUUGACGUAAUGAUUAAUAGGGAUAGUUGGGGGCAUUAGUAUUCAAUUGUCAGAGGUGAAAUUCUUGGAUUUAUUGAAGACUAACUACUGCGAAAGCAUUUGCCAAGGAUGUUUUCAUUAAUCAAGAACGAAAGUUAGGGGAUCGAAGACGAUCAGAUACCGUCGUAGUCUUAACCAUAAACUAUGCCGACUAGGGAUCGGAUGAUGUUAAUUUUUUAAUGACUCAUUCGGCGCCUUACG